Molecule: ribosomal RNA, 953 nt
Filed under: Salmonella enterica subsp. enterica serovar Schwarzengrund
Lineage: Bacteria; Pseudomonadati; Pseudomonadota; Gammaproteobacteria; Enterobacterales; Enterobacteriaceae
Description: partial 23S ribosomal RNA
Rfam family: Bacterial large subunit ribosomal RNA
Source: RNAcentral
GAAGCGUCUGGAAAGGCGCGCGAUACAGGGUGACAGCCCCGUACACAAAAGCGCAUGUGCUGUGAGCUCGAUGAGUAGGGCGGGACACGUGGUAUCCUGUCUGAAUAUGGGGGGACCAUCCUCCAAGGCUAAAUACUCCUGACUGACCGAUAGUGAACCAGUACCGUGAGGGAAAGGCGAAAAGAACCCCGGCGAGGGGAGUGAAAAAGAACCUGAAACCGUGUACGUACAAGCAGUGGGAGCCCCACCACUAAGCCAGUGGUGAACUCCACAUACGCAUCCUUUGCUGAGGAUACGGUUAACGGAGCGAAAGCGACGUUCAACCUCAAAAGAAGCAGAGGGGGCUUAGUGGUGGGGUGACUGCGUACCUUUUGUAUAAUGGGUCAGCGACUUAUAUUCUGUAGCAAGGUUAACCGAAUAGGGGAGCCGGAGGGAAACCGAGUCUUAACCGGGCGUUAAGUUGCAGGGUAUAGACCCGAAACCCGGUGAUCUAGCCAUGGGCAGGUUGAAGGUUGGGUAACACUAACUGGAGGACCGAACCGACUAAUGUUGAAAAAUUAGCGGAUGACCUGUGGCUGGGGGUGAAAGGCCAAUCAAACCGGGAGAUAGCUGGUUCUCCCCGAAAGCUAUUUAGGUAGCGCCUCGUGAAUUCAUCUCCGGGGGUAGAGCACUGUUUCGGCUAGGGGGCCAUCCCGGCUUACCAACCCGAUGCAAACUGCGAAUACCGGAGAAUGUUAUCACGGGAGACACACGGCGGGUGCUAACGUCCGUCGUGAAGAGGGAAACAACCCAGACCGCCAGCUAAGGUCCCAAAGUCAUGGUUAAGUGGGAAACGAUGUGGGAAGGCCCAGACAGCCAGGAUGUUGGCUUAGAAGCAGCCAUCAUUUAAAGAAAGCGUAAUAGCUCACUGGUCGAGUCGGCCUGCGCGGAAGAUGUAACGGGGCUAAACCAUG